AAAUGCACGUGCAGGCUGCGUCGUAGACGAGUACUACCAGCACUUUGAAGAUAUGUAUUUGAAACUUGUAUUGGUUUCUGCUGCUCUCAUGUAUGUAGGUGUUGCCUCAGGUUAUGAGGUAACCGGUUGCUAUACUUGCUCAGCUAGCGAAUCGGACCCUCAAGCAUUUAACAACUGUCGUCACUUCAUUAAUAUUACUGCAACUGAGGAUUGUAAAAGAAAUUACUAUUCUUGCCUUUUUUAUUAUACAGACGCACCAGCCGGCAAGGUUUAUGUGAACAGAGGUUGUAGUGAAGAUAGUUGUCGGAGCUUCGCCGACCAAUACCCAGGAUAUAUGAAACACUGUCAGGAUUGCAAUAGCAGACAUUGCAAUACUUUCACAUAGAUCAAUAACACCAAGCGAACAUUUUUCUGCAUACUAUACUAUAACUAAUUAUUUUAUUGUUCUUUAAUAUUUCUGUUCUUUUUUCUUUGUCAUAAUCGUCUAAACGACAAAAUGCAAUAAUUAUGUUGUAACAAUAUACGUAUUUACAAUUGGAA
Long non-coding RNA from Photinus pyralis (common eastern firefly), 540 nucleotides. RefSeq lists it as uncharacterized. The transcript has 3 exons. The record is from RefSeq and is a predicted model, not a curated record. NCBI's taxonomy places the organism in Eukaryota, Metazoa, Arthropoda, Insecta, Coleoptera, Lampyridae.